GUACUUGCUUCAGCACUACAUAUAUUAAAAUUGAAGCAAUAGAAGAUUAGCAUGGUCCCUGAGCAAGGAGGGCAUGUACAUUCAUGAAGCACUUCAUAUUUUG
Molecule: non-coding RNA, 103 nt
Organism: Tyto alba (common barn owl)
Lineage: Eukaryota; Metazoa; Chordata; Aves; Strigiformes; Tytonidae
Source: Rfam